UCAUUCGGAUUCGCCAUCAUACGUCCAACCGUGCAUUUGAUAUGCAUAUAUAUGCAUCACGAGCCACAGUUGGGCUGUAUGAUGGCGAUACCGAUUGG
Molecule: microRNA precursor, 98 nt
Filed under: Triticum turgidum subsp. durum (durum wheat)
Lineage: Eukaryota; Viridiplantae; Streptophyta; Magnoliopsida; Poales; Poaceae
Also listed under: 1 other name
Description: Triticum durum (durum wheat) MIR9666 microRNA precursor family
Rfam family: MIR9666 microRNA precursor family
Source: Rfam by way of RNAcentral